This is a long non-coding RNA of Phyllostomus discolor (pale spear-nosed bat), 286 nucleotides long. RefSeq lists it as uncharacterized. The record is from RefSeq and is a predicted model, not a curated record. Lineage: Eukaryota; Metazoa; Chordata; Mammalia; Chiroptera; Phyllostomidae. The transcript is spliced from 3 exons.
CCAGGGGUGGGGUAGCAACGGGCGGACCCAGUGAGGGGCGCAAGGCAGCUGGCUGUCCGCAGUCACACAUUCCUGCGCAGAUAAACCAGCUAAAAACAGGCAGCGACACAGGCCGAGCAACGCAGGGCCCCAGCACCGGGAAACAAAGCCUAAAUGCACCGACUGAAAACACCUGCGGGGGCUGAGACCCGGAGAACCUCCCAGCCUCGCAGGAGAGCUCCUGGGGGAGACCCACAGAGCCCUAGAAAGUACCUGAGCCCACCUGCUCGGGAGCCAGCACCAGAAG